GGGGAGGAGAGCCCCGCUUCUCCGGAGAGAUGCCUCCGAUGGAGCCGAUGGCGUCGCCCCUGCACCGCUGACCCCCACGCGCGCCGAGGCUUUCCCCCCCAGCGGCCAGUGCGUCCGGCAGCCAGCGCCCUGACCAGGACCAAGACCCGCCGGAGCCCCAUGUUGCCCAGGAACCUGUUCACCGGCGACUCCGACCUCCCGGGGGUGGAGUCGUACGCGGUGCCCCUCAUUGGCUACAGGCCGCUGUCACCGGACGCCCCCGGCAGCCAAUCGGGACAGAGCGCGGCGGAAGAGGGGAGCGCACAGGCGGACUCACCCAUGAAGACCACCUGGUACUGCCCCCUGGACCUGGUACGUCCCACACGCUCACUCUUCACUAC
Molecule: long non-coding RNA, 380 nt
Filed under: Neogobius melanostomus (round goby)
Lineage: Eukaryota; Metazoa; Chordata; Actinopteri; Gobiiformes; Gobiidae
Description: lncRNA (ENSNMLG00000017122.1)
Source: RNAcentral